RNAcentral lists this ribosomal RNA (494 nucleotides) under uncultured bacterium. RNAcentral's name for it is "partial 16S ribosomal RNA". It matches the Rfam family "Bacterial small subunit ribosomal RNA", at positions 28 to 507 of the family's 1533-position model. The record is from RNAcentral.
GACGAACGCUGGCGGCGCGCUUAACACAUGCAAGUCGAACGGAAAGGCCUGCUUUCCCUUGUGGAUUGCGGGUACUCGAGUGGCGAACGGGUGAGUAACACGUGAGUGAUCUGCCCCCAACUUGGGUAUAAGCCUGGGAAACUGGGUCUAAUUCCCGAUAGGACUGCAGGGUGGUGCCUGUGGUGGAAAACGAUUUUCUAGUGGUUGGGGAUGAGCUCGCGGCCUAUCAGCUUGUUGGUGGGGUAAUGGCCUACCAAGGCGGCGACGGGUAGCCGGCCUGAGAGGGUGGACGGGCACAUUGGGACUGAGAUACGGCCCAGACUCCUACGGGAGGCAGCAGUGGGGAAUAUUGCACAAUGGGCGGAAGCCUGAUGCAGCGACGCCGCGUGGGGGAUGACGGCCUUCGGGUUGUAAACUCCUUUCGACCGCGAGGAAGCCACCUGGUUGGAAGGGUGGUGACGGUAGUGGUAGAAGAAGCACCGGCUAACUACGUG